UUAGGCAAUUUGAGGUUAUAUUAUUGAAGUCUUUAUCGUCUUUAUUAAGCGGAUUUUUAAAUCAAGUAAUGGAAAUAUGACAUUAAGUGGCGAAGAUUUAACAACAUUUACUCGAUAAUUCAUCUUCUAAUCUGCAGCAAUAUUCGAACGAAAUCAGGUAAAACAAAUAAACUCUUGGACCUAAUAAAAAUUUCGAGAUGGGGAUGUCGAAAAGUAAACGUCUGGACAGGCUUCAUGUACGAGCGGUUAACACGAUAUUCAUCUUCUCCGGAUUUUGCGCAAUUUUCCUCGGAUACAGGAUGUAUCGUUUCACGAUCAACACACGACCGUAUCUUCAAGAAAAACGGCACCAGGUUGAGCAGGAACUUCUCUCUGAAGGAAAACCUUUAGAGGAAGAUUUAUCUGCAGCAUAGUUACUAAGAAUGUACGUCUAUAAUUUCCAAUAGCCUAUCAAUUCAACAUACUGAAUUACUUUAAAAACUCGAAGCAUUUUUUCCCCGAAAAUUAUAUGAAUUCUAAUUUUUUGUUACAGUUGGUCUAGUCUGACUUUAUAAUUGCACUGAAUUGAUCAUGUAUUUUAAGAACUUGUUGAUUUAUGAAUAAAACUAUUAAAAGUCAAUAAUUA
This is a long non-coding RNA of Belonocnema kinseyi, 625 nucleotides long. RefSeq lists it as uncharacterized. The transcript has 2 exons. The record is from RefSeq and is a predicted model, not a curated record. NCBI's taxonomy places the organism in Eukaryota, Metazoa, Arthropoda, Insecta, Hymenoptera, Cynipidae.